This 916-nucleotide ribosomal RNA is filed under the name uncultured bacterium. RNAcentral's name for it is "bacterial SSU rRNA". It matches the Rfam family "Bacterial small subunit ribosomal RNA", at positions 8 to 916 of the family's 1533-position model. The record is from RNAcentral.
AGAGUUUGAUCCUGGCUCAGGAUGAACGCUAGCUACAGGCUUAACACAUGCAAGUCGAGGGGCAGCGGGAUUGAAGCUUGCUUCAAUUGCCGGCGACCGGCGCACGGGUGAGUAACGCGUAUCCAACCUUCCGUACACUCAGGGAUAGCCUUUCGAAAGAAAGAUUAAUACCUGAUGGUAUGAUGAGAUUGCAUGAUAGCAUCAUUAAAGAUUUAUCGGUGUACGAUGGGGAUGCGUUCCAUUAGGUAGUAGGCGGGGUAACGGCCCACCUAGCCAACGAUGGAUAGGGGUUCUGAGAGGAAGGUCCCCCACAUUGGAACUGAGACACGGUCCAAACUCCUACGGGAGGCAGCAGUGAGGAAUAUUGGUCAAUGGACGAGAGUCUGAACCAGCCAAGUAGCGUGAAGGAUGAAGGUCCUACGGAUUGUAAACUUCUUUUAUAAGGGAAUAAACCCUCCCACGUGUGGGAGCUUGUAUGUACCUUAUGAAUAAGCAUCGGCUAACUCCGUGCCAGCAGCCGCGGUAAUACGGAGGAUGCGAGCGUUAUCCGGAUUUAUUGGGUUUAAAGGGAGCGCAGACGGGUCGUUAAGUCAGCUGUGAAAGUUUGGGGCUCAACCUUAAAAUUGCAGUUGAUACUGGCGUCCUUGAGUGCGGUUGAGGUGUGCGGAAUUCGUGGUGUAGCGGUGAAAUGCUUAGAUAUCACGAAGAACUCCGAUUGCGAAGGCAGCACACUAAUCCGUAACUGACGUUCAUGCUCGAAAGUGUGGGUAUCAAACAGGAUUAGAUACCCUGGUAGUCCACACGGUAAACGAUGGAUACUCGCUGUUGGCGAUAUACUGUCAGCGGCUUAGCGAAAGCGUUAAGUAUCCCACCUGGGGAGUACGCCGGCAACGGUGAAACUCAAAGGAAUUGACGG